This 57-nucleotide microRNA precursor is filed under the name Vombatus ursinus (common wombat). RNAcentral describes it as "miRNA (ENSVURG00010016617.1)". The record is from RNAcentral. Lineage: Eukaryota; Metazoa; Chordata; Mammalia; Diprotodontia; Vombatidae.
UGGCCCCGGACCAGGCUGUUGUUGUUCUCAACGUGGUCCGCCACCGAGCAAUAUAAG